CCUACGGGUGGCAGCAGUGGGGAAUAUUGGGCAAUGGAGGCAACUCUUACCCAGCAAUGCCGCGUGCAUGAAGAAGGUCUUCGGAUUGUAAAGUUCUUUAAUUGGGGACGAAAAAAAUGACGGUACCCAAGGACUAAGCCUCGGCUAAAAACGUGCCAGCAGCCGCUGUAAUCCGUAGGGGGCAAUCGUUGUUCGGAAUGACUGGGGGUCAAGGGUGUGUAGGCGGUGUAGAAAGUUAGGAGGGAAAUACCUAGAGCUUAACUCAGGUGCUGCUUCUAAUACUGCUAUACUAGAGUGCAGAAGAGGAAGGUGGAAUUCCUGGUGUAGCGGUGGAAUGCGUAGAUAUUAGGAAGAACAUCGGUGGCGAAGGCGACUUUCUGGACUGUAACUGACGCUGAGGCACGAAAGUGUGGGGAGCAAACAGGAUUAGAUACCCUGGUAGUC
RNAcentral lists this ribosomal RNA (444 nucleotides) under uncultured bacterium. RNAcentral describes it as "partial 16S ribosomal RNA". It matches the Rfam family "Bacterial small subunit ribosomal RNA", at positions 338 to 795 of the family's 1533-position model. The record is from RNAcentral.